CCGCGGUAUCCUGACCGUGCAAAGGUAGCAUAAUCACUUGCCUAUUAAUUGUAGGCUAGAAUGAAAGGACAAACGAGAAUACACCUGUCUCCUUUAAGCCCCUAAAAAUUUAUCUUUAAGUGAAGAAGCUUAAAUAAACGUGCAGGACAAGAAGACCCUAUAGAGCUUUACCUAUAAGCCACAUAAACAGUGGUUAGCGGUUCGGUUGGGGCGACCAGGGGAUACUAACCACCCCUAAAUUAUAAGAUCAACUAAUCCUAUCAUAGAUCCUUUAUCAAGAUCAAAGAAUCAAGCUACCUUAGGGAUAACAGGCUAAUCCUCUUAGAGAGCCCUUAUCGACAAGAGGGGUUGGCACCUCGAUGUUGGCUU
RNAcentral lists this ribosomal RNA (369 nucleotides) under Tubifex tubifex (sludge worm). Its description in RNAcentral is "partial 16S ribosomal RNA". It matches the Rfam family "Bacterial large subunit ribosomal RNA", at positions 1931 to 2538 of the family's 2925-position model. The record is from RNAcentral. Lineage: Eukaryota; Metazoa; Annelida; Clitellata; Tubificida; Naididae.